GGAAAGUUUAAUUUAUUUUAAUUCAAUUAAACUCGGAUCGGAUUGAAUUACGAUCAAACAAUUUCGGAUCGGAUUUCAAAAAAAUUAUCAACUGUCGGAUUGUAAACCUCCAAUCCGAUCCGAUGAUGCACACCUCUAAUGCACAUGUGCUAAUUGACACUGGUUUGAUAAGAACGUUCAUAUAUUGUUUAACCAACUAAAAGUUACAAAUGAUGCACAGUAUAAAUAAUAUGAUUAAGGUGACCAAUAAACCCUGACCCGUUUUUGGGAAUGGCCAAAGUGAAAGUGAUGUUGUGUUUGUUUGUUUGUUUGUUUGUUUGUUUGUUUGUUUGUUUGUUUGUUUGCUUGUUUGCUUGUUUGUUUGCUUGCUUGCUUGCUUGCUUGCUUGCUUGCUUGUUUGUUUGUUUGUUUGUUUGUUUGUUUGUUUGUUUGUUUGUUUGUUUGUUUGUUUGUUUGUUU
This is a non-coding RNA of Paramuricea clavata, 459 nucleotides long. Lineage: Eukaryota; Metazoa; Cnidaria; Anthozoa; Malacalcyonacea; Plexauridae. The record is from the annotation of a GenBank genome assembly.